Molecule: ribosomal RNA, 410 nt
Filed under: Verrucomicrobia bacterium enrichment culture clone LiUU-15-705
Lineage: Bacteria; Pseudomonadati; Verrucomicrobiota
Description: bacterial SSU rRNA
Rfam family: Bacterial small subunit ribosomal RNA
Source: RNAcentral
CAGCCGCCGCGGUAAUACAGAGACUGCAAGCGUUACUCGGAUUCACUGGGCGUAAAGGGAGCGCAGGCGGACUCGUGUGUCGGACGUGAAAUACCGGGGCUUAACCCCGGUGCCGCGUUCGAAACUACGAGUCUAGAGACUUGGAGGGGUAAGCGGAAUUCUUGGUGGAGCAGUGAAAUGCGUAGAUAUCAAGAGGAACACCAACGGCGAAGGCAGCUUACUGGACAAGAUCUGACGCUCAGGCUCGAGAGCGUGGGGAGCAAAAGGGAUUAGAUACCCCUGUAGUCCACGCUGUAAACGGUGCGCAUUAGGUCUUGGAGCUUUCGAACGCUCCAGGGCUCAAGCUAACGCAUUAAAUGCGCCGCCUGAGGGACUACGGCCGCAAGGCUAAAACUCAAAUGAAUUGACGG